GUUUGGCAGAGAGCAAGGGUGUAGGAUGCCUUGGGCAGACUGUCACACAGCGGUCGUUCCAGAGGUUCAAGGAUCUUUUUAGGUUCUAGUGAGUGCUUUGUAAGGAUAGCUUCUAGUUGAGAGAGAUUGUGUAUAAGGGUUGAGAGUGUGAGGAUCUCCUCUUGUACUUAUUCUUUUUCAUAGUAAAGCUUUGCAUGCUUCGUGGAGGUAAGUCUUGGGC
This 220-nucleotide long non-coding RNA is filed under the name Elaeis guineensis (African oil palm). RNAcentral describes it as "long non-coding RNA (EGUI_LNC017299)". The record is from RNAcentral. Lineage: Eukaryota; Viridiplantae; Streptophyta; Magnoliopsida; Arecales; Arecaceae.